UGCAGUCGAACGCUUCUUUUCCCACCGGAGCUUGCUCCACCGGGAAAAGAGGAGUGGCGAACGGGUGAGUAACACGUGGGUAACCUGCCCAUCAGAAGGGGAUAACACUUGGAAACAGGUGCUAAUACCGUAUAACAAUCGAAACCGCAUGGUUUCGUUUUGAAAGGCGCUUUACGGUGCCGCUGAUGGAUGGACCCGCGGUGCAUUAGCUAGUUGGUGAGGUAACGGCUCACCAAGGCCACGAUGCAUAGCCGACCUGAGAGGGUGAUCGGCCACAUUGGGACUGAGACACGGCCCAAACUCCUACGGGAGGCAGCAGUAGGGAAUCUUCGGCAAUGGACGAAAGUCUGACCGAGCAACGCCGCGUGAGUGAAGAAGGUUUUCGGAUCGUAAAACUCUGUUGUUAGAGAAGAACAAGGGUGAGAGUAACUGUUCACCCCUUGACGGUAUCUAACCAGAAAGCCACGGCUAACUACGUGCCAGCAGCCGCGGUAAUACGUAGGUGGCAAGCGUUGUCCGGAUUUAUUGGGCGUAAAGCGAGCGCAGGCGGUUUCUUAAGUCUGAUGUGAAAGCCCCCGGCUCAACCGGGGAGGGUCAUUGGAAACUGGGAGACUUGAGUGCAGAAGAGGAGAGUGGAAUUCCAUGUGUAGCGGUGAAAUGCGUAGAUAUAUGGAGGAACACCAGUGGCGAAGGCGGCUCUCUGGUCUGUAACUGACGCUGAGGCUCGAAAGCGUGGGGAGCAAACAGGAUUAGAUACCCUGGUAGUCCACGCCGUAAACGAUGAGUGCUAAGUGUUGGAGGGUUUCCGCCCUUCAGUGCUGCAGCUAACGCAUUAAGCACUCCGCCUGGGGAGUACGACCGCAAGGUUGAAACUCAAAGGAAUUGACGGGGGCCCGCACAAGCGGUGGAGCAUGUGGUUUAAUUCGAAGCAACGCGAAGAACCUUACCAGGUCUUGACAUCCUUUGACCACUCUAGAGAUAGAGCUUCCCCUUCGGGGGCAAAGUGACAGGUGGUGCAUGGUUGUCGUCAGCUCGUGUCGUGAGAUGUUGGGUUAAGUCCCGCAACGAGCGCAACCCUUAUUGUUAGUUGCCAUCAUUUAGUUGGGCACUCUAGCAAGACUGCCGGUGACAAACCGGAGGAAGGUGGGGAUGACGUCAAAUCAUCAUGCCCCUUAUGACCUGGGCUACACACGUGCUACAAUGGGAAGUACAACGAGUCGCGAAGUCGCGAGGCUAAGCUAAUCUCUUAAAGCUUCUCUCAGUUCGGAUUGUAGGCUGCAACUCGCCUACAUGAAGCCGGAAUCGCUAGUAAUCGCGGAUCAGCACGCCGCGGUGAAUACGUUCCCGGGCCUUGUACACACCGCCCGUCACACCACGAGAGUUUGUAACACCCGAAGUCGGUGAGGUAACCUUUUGGAGCCAGCCGC
Molecule: ribosomal RNA, 1427 nt
Filed under: Enterococcus mundtii
Lineage: Bacteria; Bacillati; Bacillota; Bacilli; Lactobacillales; Enterococcaceae
Description: bacterial SSU rRNA
Rfam family: Bacterial small subunit ribosomal RNA
Source: RNAcentral